GAUGAACGCUGGCGGCGUGCUUAACACAUGCAAGUCGAACGGAAAGGCUCCUGCUUGCAGGGGUACUCGAGUGGCGAACGGGUGAGUAACACGUGGGUGAUCUGCCCAGCACUUCGGGAUAAGCCUGGGAAACUGGGUCUAAUACCGGAUAGGACGAUGGUUUGGAUGCCAUUGUGGAAAGUUUUUUCGGUGUGGGAUGAGCUCGCGGCCUAUCAGCUUGUUGGUGGGGUAAUGGCCUACCAAGGCGUCGACGGGUAGCCGGCCUGAGAGGGUGUACGGCCACAUGGGGAGGGGGAACGGCCCCAGACUCCUAGGGGGGGCGGGAGGGGGGAAUAGUGAAAAAGGGGGGAAAGCCUGAUGGAGGGGCGGCGGGGGGGGGAGGACGGCCUUGGGGUUGUAAACCCCUUUCGCUGGGGAGGAAGCGAAAGGGAGGGUACCUGGAGAAGAAGAACCGGCAAACUAGG
RNAcentral lists this ribosomal RNA (464 nucleotides) under uncultured bacterium. RNAcentral describes it as "partial 16S ribosomal RNA". It matches the Rfam family "Bacterial small subunit ribosomal RNA", at positions 28 to 505 of the family's 1533-position model. The record is from RNAcentral.